This is an RNA transcript of Homo sapiens (human), 3312 nucleotides long. It is a transcript of the gene named exostosin like glycosyltransferase 2, with no coding region annotated. The transcript is spliced from 6 exons. NCBI's taxonomy places the organism in Eukaryota, Metazoa, Chordata, Mammalia, Primates, Hominidae. The record is from RefSeq and is marked validated.
UCUUGUCAGAACCUCCAGGCCAGUUUCAGCAACGUGCAGGCAGAAGCUGGCCCCUCGGUGGGAUGCGAGGGCGUGUGGAGCGCGGGGAGGAGAGCCCCACAGGCCUUUCCUGGGCACCCGCGGUGGAUGGGAAGGCUCCUUCGGGCGCCUUUCAGGGAAGUUGUUUGGCUGAGGGAAGGUGGUCCGUCACGUGAAUGUUUAAAAGUUGUUACCUUGGAGAAGAAAUGGAGGAAAGGAUUGGCUUUCGGAGGUGGGCUGGAAACUACAAAACCGAGCUUCCUGGGAAUGCCUUUUAGGCCGACAGGAAGUGGAGCGUCACCGAAAGGGAGGGGCGGCCACUCGGGGACUGUCCCUUGCUCCAGGCGCUCACUUUGCGGGCGGCACUUUUUCCAGGUUGUUAAUCCAGCUAAUGGAGAAGGAUAGAUGCACGCUACUUGGUUUAGAAAAAAAAACAAAAAUGAGCAAACGAGACGCCCCUUCCGUUUUAUGAUAACUAAGCUGCAGGGAAAUAAAUCGGCUGGCCCUACUGCAAUCUACUGCACUCGAGUGACAAGUGAGCCUGCUUCUGUCAAUUACUGAAGCUAUAAGGAGAUUUUUUAAAAAUUAAACUUCAACACAAUGAGGUAAAAUUGGGGGAUUAGGAGCUAUCUGAAAGGAAAUGUCUGUGAUGGAUACAGGGGAUAAACUCCUACUUAAAAGAAUACAUGAGAAGGAAGCAGUCACUCAUGAGUGUCUUCAACGGUGUAUAUUUAUAGUGUUGCCACAUCUGCAAACUUCCUGGGAGAGUAAUGGGGAUUCGAGUGCUUCGAUUAUCUUUGGUGGUCAUCCUCGUAUUAUUACUGGUAGCUGGUGCUUUGACUGCCUUACUUCCCAGUGUUAAAGAAGACAAGAUGCUCAUGUUGCGUAGGGAAAUAAAAUCCCAGGGCAAGUCCACCAUGGACUCCUUUACUCUCAUAAUGCAGACGUACAACAGAACAGAUCUCUUAUUGAAACUUUUAAAUCAUUAUCAGGCUGUACCAAAUCUGCACAAAGUGAUUGUGGUAUGGAACAAUAUUGGAGAGAAGGCACCAGAUGAAUUAUGGAAUUCUCUAGGGCCCCACCCUAUCCCUGUGAUCUUCAAACAACAGACAGCAAACAGGAUGAGAAAUCGACUCCAGGUCUUUCCUGAACUGGAAACCAAUGCAGUGUUGAUGGUAGAUGAUGACACACUCAUCAGCACCCCAGACCUUGUUUUUGCUUUCUCAGUUUGGCAGCAAUUUCCUGAUCAAAUUGUAGGAUUUGUUCCUAGAAAGCACGUCUCUACUUCAUCAGGUAUCUACAGUUAUGGAAGUUUUGAAAUGCAAGCACCAGGGUCUGGAAAUGGUGACCAGUACUCUAUGGUGCUGAUUGGAGCCUCAUUCUUCAAUAGCAAAUAUCUUGAAUUAUUUCAGAGGCAACCUGCAGCUGUCCAUGCUUUGAUAGAUGAUACUCAAAACUGUGAUGAUAUUGCCAUGAAUUUUAUCAUUGCCAAGCAUAUUGGCAAGACUUCAGGGAUAUUUGUGAAGCCUGUAAACAUGGACAAUUUGGAAAAAGAAACCAACAGUGGCUAUUCUGGAAUGUGGCAUCGAGCUGAGCACGCUCUGCAGAGGUCUUAUUGUAUAAAUAAGCUUGUUAAUAUCUAUGAUAGCAUGCCCUUAAGAUACUCCAACAUUAUGAUUUCCCAGUUUGGUUUUCCAUAUGCCAACUACAAAAGAAAAAUAUAAAAGUAAAACAAACAAAAACAAACCUGAAAACUGCUUGGCAUUUGAGUAGCUUCUCCAUGCUAUGUAUUUUUUUAAGCAACAUCAUGAAUUUUAUCUACUCCAGAAGUCUCUACAAUAGAAAAAAAAGUGCAGUGCUUCUAGGAUAUAAAAUUCACAUUACUUUUGAAAGCCAAGAAGUUGGUCUUAUCCAGUUAGGUCUUCUUAUGAAGAGUUUUCAUCCAGGGAUAUAACUCCUUGGUCAGUGAUUUUAUUGUUUACAUCCUGAGACUGUUCUACAGUUUCUUUGACUCCUGGCAUUUGCCUUAAGGACCUAUAGCAAGCUGUUUCUAGGAUCAGAAACUCAAGAGAGGCAUUUCUCUGCUUUUUCACUAAAGGUCAGUUGUUUUAAUUUGAAACCUGAAAUGCCUCUUUAGCAAAAGCCUGUGGUAUGGGGUAAAGCCAUGUAAGAAGAGAAUAGUCUCAGUCACAUAUGAAGAGGAAAAUUUGCAGCUGCCAGUGCUUUCCUUGUGGCCCUGCCAACCAGCUCUUCCAGGACGAACUCAGUCCAGCAUGGUUUUGAUGUAACCAUCCAUGCUUUUAUUUUUGUUAAGUCUUUUGUGACUGGGACAGUUAAUUUUAGUAGCUGAAGAACGUCUAGUUGUUUGCUUGAUAUUUGUGAACAUUUACUGCAUGGAUCACAAAACAAUAUACCCUGUAUUUCUUACACGCCACUUAUAUGCAGCAAGGAGUAAAUGUGUUACUAGAUUCGGGUAGUGCAUUUUGUCACUGAAUCUGACCUUGAGAAUGUACAUUAAUUCUUAUAUUUUACAUAAUGUAUGUGUUGUUUAAGAAAUGUAUAAAAAACCUGAAAAAAAUGAGUAAGAACUGGCAGAAGUUAAAACCCUUUGUAUCAAAAGAUCUUUAUUGGUAGAGCACUGGUUAUCUUCUGGAUACUAAAAAGUUGUAUUACAAAGCCAAACACUUGCAUUCACAACUUUAAAAAAAGAUCCAAGGAACUAUUCAUAAUGAUGAAAUUUCAACUACAUACAAGGAGGAGAAAAUAAGAACCCAGUCAUAACAGAGGAAUUCUAUAGGAGUCUGCAUCAAUUCAUUCUUAAGGUUGCCUACUCUCUGUUAUGUGAAUUAGCGUCUGUGUUUCACCCAUUGUCUGUGUUUAGUCCUUGUUCACCACUAAGGCAAGGAAUUCUUAACUAGGCCUCUGUUUACCAACUUCUCUUUCUCCUCCUUUCCCUCUUAUUCCUCCUUCUCCUCUUCCUUCUUAUAUAAUGCUAGUAUAUUCUCAAAAUUGCAAAGCUGUGAGAAUAUUAAAAUAAUCAUGGCUAAUGUUCCAAUAAUGAGGUCUUUGUGCAUUUAGUUCCGCAUAUGAUGGUUUUUUUUUUACAUUAAAGAGUAUAUGUGUCUUAAUGCAGUCAGAUUGUAAAAAACAAAAACAAAGAAACUAAGAAUCUUACUAAAAAUCGAUAAUGUCAGUUAUCUGUUUUGUCCAAUAUUGGUAGUACUUUUUUGCCUCUUAUGAUUCCUCUAGCAGAUAAAUAAAAGAAACUUUUGCCAUCCAUGUGUUCUGUGUUAA